This 70-nucleotide transfer RNA is filed under the name Lithobates warszewitschii. Its description in RNAcentral is "tRNA-Trp". Lineage: Eukaryota; Metazoa; Chordata; Amphibia; Anura; Ranidae. The record is from RNAcentral.
GAUUUAGGUUGACCAAAGACCUUCAAAGUCUUUAGCGAGGGUGAGACACCAUCAAUUUCCGUAGGACUUG